This 73-nucleotide transfer RNA is filed under the name Stegodyphus mimosarum. It matches the Rfam family "tRNA". Rfam says of the family: Transfer RNA (tRNA) molecules are approximately 80 nucleotides in length. The record is from Rfam by way of RNAcentral. Lineage: Eukaryota; Metazoa; Arthropoda; Arachnida; Araneae; Eresidae.
GUCUUCGUGGUAUAGUGGUCAGCACGCUCGACGCGUAACCGAGAGGUCAGUGGUUCGAAUCCCGGCGAAGGCU